Molecule: ribosomal RNA, 459 nt
Filed under: uncultured bacterium
Lineage: Bacteria
Description: partial 16S ribosomal RNA
Rfam family: Bacterial small subunit ribosomal RNA
Source: RNAcentral
CCUACGGGAGGCUGCAGUGAGGAAUAUUGGUCAAUGGGCGGGAGCCUGAACCAGCCAAGCCGCGUGAGGGAAGAAGGUACAGCGUAUCGUAAACCUCUUUUGUCAGGGAACAAAGUCUGGGACUAGUCCCCGGAUGAGGGUACCUGAAGAAAAAGCAUCGGCUAACUCCGUGCCAGCAGCCGCGGUAAUACGGAGGAUCCGAGCGUUAUCCGGAUUUAUUGGGUUUAACGGGUGCGCAGGCGGCCUGUUAAGUCAGCGUGAAAAGCCCGGGGCUCAACCCAGGAGAGCCGUUGAAACUGGCGGUCUGGAGUGGGAGAGAAGUACGCGGAAUGCGUGGUGUAGCGGUGAAAUGCUUAGAUAUCGCGCAGAACCCCGAUUGCGAAGGCAGCGUACUGGAUCGAAACUGACGCUGAGGCACGAAAGUGUGGGUAUCGAACAGGAUUAGAUACCCUAGUAGUC